Long non-coding RNA from Thalassophryne amazonica, 145 nucleotides. RefSeq lists it as uncharacterized. The record is from RefSeq and is a predicted model, not a curated record. Lineage: Eukaryota; Metazoa; Chordata; Actinopteri; Batrachoidiformes; Batrachoididae. The transcript is spliced from 3 exons.
UGGUGGUGGGUUUGAAAUGGGUGACUGUUUCUCGGCCAUCUUGGAUUUAGAGGAAAUUUACUUGCAGUUACACUGACUGACCACUGAAUAGACCUCAAUUGAAUAGGGCAGCAGAGAGCACUCAAGAGGCUGGUAUGCAGUUGCA